This is a long non-coding RNA of Salvia splendens (bonfire salvia), 402 nucleotides long. RefSeq lists it as uncharacterized. The record is from RefSeq and is a predicted model, not a curated record. The transcript is spliced from 2 exons. NCBI's taxonomy places the organism in Eukaryota, Viridiplantae, Streptophyta, Magnoliopsida, Lamiales, Lamiaceae.
GUCUAUUUCAUCUGCUUUAAUACAUAUACAUAGAUAGCAAUGAAGUGUGUUUUUAUGUGUGUGAUAUUGGUGAUAAUGGGAGGAAGCACCUGGGCACAAGACACGUGCUCGUCAUCGCUGUCGAGUCUGAACGUGUGUACACCGUUCGUGGUGCCUGGCUCGACCGGGAACCCUAGUUCCGACUGUUGUGGCGCUCUUCAAAGCGUCAGCCACGAUUGCUUGUGCAGCACCCUCCGCAUUGCCUCUCGUAUCCCCGCCCAAUGCAACCUCCCUCCCUUCUCUUGCCCAAACUGACCUUGGAACUUCAAUCUAACUUUGGGACUUCUUUGCAAUAAAACUUGGAACUUACAUGUAGCCAACAAAGAUGAUUUCUAUUUUUGAGCAAUAAAACUACUUUUAUGA